UUCAAGAAACGAAUGAAACAAAAACGAACACAUUGUGGAGUGCGAGCGACACAUCCAUUCUUUGUUCUUCAAGAAUCGAAUGAAACAAAAACAUCUAUGUGUGGAUGUUCAGUGGUUCGCUCAAUCAUCUUUAUUAUUUGCAACAUCAACAAACAACAUUCAGUUUUCUGCUUGAAAAAAGACAACCUAUGAGAUAUAAGGAUGCUUGCAAUGUGAUCAAUGGAGGAAACCAUAAUGAGGUUGUAUCUGAUAACAUUCAGUGGGUGUUGGCAUAAUUAAGCAUCAGUCAGAUAGCACUAGAUUUGUGUUGAUAAUUAUUAAUGAGUGUUCAGAUUCAGCAUGCUAAUAAGGUGGUUAACUCCCAAUGUUCAACGGUGAUUUGGAAACCAAAACCUCAUGGAACUGUUCUUGGAGGGAAGGUUGAUUCAGAUGCGGCUUCAUGCAAUCUUUUGAAAAUGAAAAGUCAUAUCAAGAGGUUACUCAGAACGUUUUGUGCUUCACUCUUUAGUAGAGGAGUGUUACGUUUGUUGAAGUUGUUCCCGGAUUGGAGGAUGAUUGAUUGGAUAUCCUGGGAGGCUACCCAGCCAAAGGUGCCCCCCAUUCCUGCCUCCAAGCGUUGAUUGGUUUGAGGCAGAUUCCAUGGACGAUUGGACUGCGCCUCACCUCAAUGGCUAGUCGGGGGGGUCUAUCGCGUUGAUGUGCACGUUACAUCAGACAGUGACUUUGCUAACUUGUGUGUUUCCGUUGUCUGUGCAGGGUUUAGUGGCUUUGCUAACUUGUCUAUGCGCGUUACCGACGCUGGUCAUAGUUUAAUUUUAUUGUCUAUGCCAGUGGGUGUUAGCCUUCCCUUGGUUUGGUUGGGUGUAGCAUUAACUUUGGAUUUUCAUUCAUAUGUCCCUGCUUCACACAUUUAAUAAAGUUGAGGAAGGACAAGGUCAGGAUGUGCAUCAGUACACCAAAGCUUAGUGGUGAUGAAAAUAUCGCCACGGUUCUUGAUAAGACCUUGGUUUUGUGCUUGUACUAUAGCUAGGCCAAGGGCUUCCUCAGAACCAUACAUA
Molecule: long non-coding RNA, 1058 nt
Organism: Trifolium pratense (red clover)
Lineage: Eukaryota; Viridiplantae; Streptophyta; Magnoliopsida; Fabales; Fabaceae
Exons: 5
Source: RefSeq, a predicted model, not a curated record